This 1515-nucleotide long non-coding RNA is filed under the name Pan troglodytes (chimpanzee). Its description in RNAcentral is "long non-coding RNA NONPTRT010354". Lineage: Eukaryota; Metazoa; Chordata; Mammalia; Primates; Hominidae. The record is from RNAcentral.
AGGGAAGGUGCCAUAAGUUAACUUCUUUGGCCAGCACUCCAGACUGAGCAUCGAGCCUCCUUUAUUCCCACCUUCUCUUCCAGACGCACGCCGACACUGGGCAGAAGGGAAGAAACCAGUGGGGAUACUGUUGUUUUGCGGGGGCAGCAUGAGCAGACCCAGGAAGAAAAUGCUGGCCUUGAGAUAGAUAGCUCUUCAGAGGAUCCAGAUUAAACUAAGUUCAGUGUUACCUAAAUUUACAUGAAGACCCAGAGGCCCAUGCUCCUUCAUUUUGGGCUCCACCGACCUCCAAGGUUUCAGGGCCCUCUGCCCCGCCUUCUGCACCCACAGGGGAAGAGAGUGGAGGAUGCACACGCCCAGGCCUGGAAGCGACGCAUGUGGCUUCCCCGUCCACAGACUUCACCCACAGUCCAUUGGCCUUCUUAAGUCAUGGACUCCUGCUGAGCUGCCAGGGUGCGUGGGAAAUCCAUGUGACUGUGUGCCCUGGAGGAAGGGGAGCGUUUCGGUGAGCACACAGGAGUCUUUGCCACUAGACGCUGAUGAGGAUUCCCCACAGGCGAUGAAGCAUGGAGACUCAUCUUGUAACAAACAGAUGAGUUGUUGACAUCUCUUAAGUUUAUUUUGUGUGCAGUUUUUAUUCAGAUAGGAAAGGCUGUUAAAAUCUUAACACCUAACUGGAAGAAGGGUUUUAGAGAAGGGUGGUUUUCAGUAAGCCAGUUCUUUCCACAAUCCAAGAAACGAAAUAAAUUUCCAGCGUGGAGCAGUUUGCAGGUAAGGUUUUUGUUGUGGUCUCGCCCAGGCUUGAGUGUAACCGGUGUGGUCAUAGCUCACUACAUUCUCAAACUCCUGGCCUUAAGUCAUCCUCCUGCCUCAGCCUCCCAAAGGCAAGUAAGGUUAAGAAUAGGGGAAAGGUGAAGUUUCACAGCUUUUCUAGAAUUCUUUUUGUUCAAGGGACUCUCAGAUCAUCAAACCCACCCAGAAUCUGCUCAAUUUUCAAGAUUUGCUUAUAAAUAUUUAUAAUAUAAACACUCAAUUGCUAUCUGUUUUUUAGGUUCUCCUCUCUCUCCCAGAACAGUGGUAACAGGAACUCUUGGGGGCUUCUCCCUGUUCUUGCAGAUGUGGCAGGAUGUGUUUCUGGGGGGCUCCCAUGCCAGUCCACACCCUCUGUGGUGUAAGCAGGGAUUGGUAAUUAAUGAGAUGCUAAACCCUCCAGAAGUGAGCGCUCAUGUCCCAGAAACACAUCUUCCACCUCAGCAGCCAGUGGGAAAACUAGACUUUGUGUCUGCAUAUUUGUUCUUAAACACACUCUUCUGCAGUCUAACUCUGCUGACCACUUUCCAGUUUGCUCAUAUCAGAAUUUCUUUGGUUCUAAGAUGCAUAUUUUCUUUUUGUAUUCUGACUUGUUAGAAAUUAGAAUAUGUCUUGCAGCCAAUAAAAUCUAUGACAACAUUUUUUUUUUCUUAAUGGUUCCUAAAACUGUAGUUGAUGGUGUCUUGCUUAGGUUUAACGAAAGAU